AUAAUAUAUCCAGGAAAUAGAAGGGGAUUGUGCUGCACUGAUGGAUUCCAUGGUACCCUGAAGAUCCAGAAAACAGAGUUUGCCUGAAUCACCAAUUUCAUCCUGAUGCUUGAUGAUCCAAAGAAAGACUUCACCCUCUUCCAGUCUAGAGCAGGACGGGUAGGGACUAUAAAAAUGUUGACACCUCCCCUCCACCCCAUCACUGAUCUGUGCACUCUAACAGUGGUAAACUUGAGAACAUCCUUAAUUCUUUGGUUUUGGAAAAUUUGGAACAAAGUGACUGAACAAAAUAGCUGCAGCGCUUUGAAAUGAAUCAUCAUAUAACCUCAUUCCACAGUGUCCAGUUAGAGCUGGGUGAAAUUUUUUUGGUAAAUUGUAAAUUCAAUGAAAAAUGUUUUUUCAGGGCACCUAAACUAAGUGAAUUUGGGUCAAAUUAGGCUAAGUUUCAGCCGAAAACAAUGUAGCUUGUUCAGAGUGGAGCUGCAUACUAAUUUAAACUAUCACAAUUAUAUUAUAACAGCCUUACAUUUGUCAUAUUGGCUGCCUAUUAAGGAGCAGAAUGGUUUAAAGCGAACACUCAUCAACUUAAAAUAAUUACAUUACUGUCUGAGUAAUACCCCAAAUUACUAUAAAUGAAAAAUUUGAGAAAAUAAAAUUUCCCAUUUUUAGUUUUACUUUGUGUAUUUACACUAAAAUAUUGUCAACGUUUAGUUUCACUUUUUCCUCUACAUAAAAGAAUAGUUUCUCCUGUAUGUGUGGGAUUUUCUACACAGCAAUAGAGGAGAUAAAAACAUUUUAAAGACAGGAAAAUUAUAAAAGCACAGAAAUGGCAGUUGUCUUCAUGGGCAGAUGUGAUGCCUAAGGAUAUUUGCAACUGACAUUUGAAAUUUACUAGUCAGUGUCUCUUUAAAUCGGCUCUACUGGUUUUUGAAGGCCUUAAGGAUGAUGGCUCUGAAUACAUUUUGAUUCCAUAUCUUGAACUUUGUACUAUGAGGCAGAGUGCUUUUACAUACUACUCACAACACAGAUCUUAUCACAUCCAAGAUCAGCAGUUGAUUAUGCUUCAGCUGUGGUGAGCCCCCCCAUGCAGCAUAGAACUCUUUCCAUCCCUUCUCAUUUUAUUAAGAACACCUUUGCUUUUCUAGUUUCAGACCAUUCAUGUUGCCCAACACAUACUAUCUUGUCUUUCAGUCUUUCCUUUAAAAUUAGAUGCCCUCCCUUCAUUGCUUCUAUUUUAAGAGGGCAGUAUUUUAUUGCUUAAAGAGACACCAACUUUUUAAAAAACCCCAUAACACUGUCAGCAAUUUUAUUGCAAUUCAAUGCUUUGGCUGCUGUAUCUGGGGAGGGAGGAGUGAUGAGUACUAUAUAAAAUAUAAUUAUUCCAUAACAAGUAUGGCCACCUUCAAGAAAAAGCUAGACAUCAAGAAGCUCUAUGGAUAAACUCUCUCUCAGAUUAAAAUCCUUCAUAAUUUAAUAUAUUAAUUAGAUGCAUCCCUCAGGCUUGGCAGUUAAAUGUGACUCUCACUGCUGGAAAGGUUUUGCACAAUUGAUCCAUUAUUAGAAAAACUGUAUUUAUCGUUGCCAGUUUGAUCUAGCUGUUAAAAACUGAUUAUUGCUUUGUAAAGAAAAAAAUAUUAAAAAUAAAUCGACGCAUUGUAACUCAGGAAGUGUAUAAUUUUUUUUGAAGGAUUAGCACUCUUUCAUUAAGAGAGGAGACAAAAUAAUUCAUAUUUGAAUUUUUGCUCUAUUUAAGAUAUCAGAAACUGGAAGACAAAUUAACAUUUUGAAUCCAAGAACAUAAAAGUACAAUACAUUGAAAGCUACAAUUUAACCAGAGAGUGAUGGAAAAAAAGGGAUAUAAACCAGAUUUUCUUCAAACUGCAGAAGAUGACAGAUAGGUUAAAACAUCCACCUUCCAUACUAAUGGCAAAACAAUUCCCCCUCCCACCCCAGAAAAUAAAAAUAAAAA
Terrapene triunguis (Three-toed box turtle) is the source of this 1969-nucleotide long non-coding RNA. RefSeq lists it as uncharacterized. Lineage: Eukaryota; Metazoa; Chordata; Testudines; Emydidae. The record is from RefSeq and is a predicted model, not a curated record. The transcript is spliced from 2 exons.